GACGAACGCUGGCGGCGUGCCUAAUACAUGCAAGUCGAACGGAGAUUAAGUAGCUUGCUAUUUAAUCUUAGUGGCGCACGGGUGAGUAAUAUAUAGCUAACUUGCCCAUUACUAAGGGACAACAGUUGGAAACGACUGCUAAUACCUUAUACUCCGUAUCUAUAUAAGUAGAUACGGGAAAGUUUUUCGGUAAUGGAUAGGGCUAUAUCGUAUCAGCUAGUUGGUAAGGUAAUGGCUUACCAAGGCUAUGACGCGUAACUGGUCUGAGAGGAUGAUCAGUCACACUGGAACUGAGACACGGUCCAGACUCCUACGGGAGGCAGCAGUAGGGAAUAUUGCUCAAUGGGGGAAACCCUGAAGCAGCAACGCCGCGUGGAGGAUGACACUUUUCGGAGCGUAAACUCCUUUUCUUGGGAAAGAAUUAUGACGGUACCCAAGGAAUAAGCACCGGCUAACUCCGUG
This 462-nucleotide ribosomal RNA is filed under the name uncultured bacterium. RNAcentral describes it as "partial 16S ribosomal RNA". It matches the Rfam family "Bacterial small subunit ribosomal RNA", at positions 28 to 507 of the family's 1533-position model. The record is from RNAcentral.